Long non-coding RNA from Ornithodoros turicata, 309 nucleotides. RefSeq lists it as uncharacterized. The transcript has 3 exons. The record is from RefSeq and is a predicted model, not a curated record. NCBI's taxonomy places the organism in Eukaryota, Metazoa, Arthropoda, Arachnida, Ixodida, Argasidae.
GAUGCAGCAAUUCCGAUCAGAAAGGUUUCCGCAUGUAUACUUUCCCGAGAGACGCGAAAAGACGGCGUGAAUGGCAAUUGAGAACCAAGCGAGGUGGUGGCUGGACACCGAAGGCAAAAAGCCAGCUUUGCGAGGUGCUUUUUGAGGCGAGCCAGUUUGAAACACACAGAGCAGACAGCUGGAAGAAGCUCAAGCCAAAUGCAGUUCCAACCAUCUUUGCUCACACAAAGCCAAAAGCCCAGAGGAAGCCCCCACGGGAAAGAGUUAGCAGCUUUGUUUCCCAGCCACGUCAAACACCUAAGACCCUUU